AAGGAAUUGCUGUGUUUACUAAGGCGAUAUAAAGAAGGCACCAUGAAGAAGCUGAUGUUAAUUGUCUUAAUACUGUUCAUAACUAUAGAUAUUGUCUAUCCUUGUGGUUGCCUUGCUGUAUGGGAUCCAGUUUGCUCCACUGCUGGUAAAACACACAGUAAUGUAGGAUGCAUGAUUUGCGACAAAGAAGUUUUAGCUUGCCACCAUGAAUGUCCAUGUUAAUACUAACAGUUAUAAAAGCAAGAACAAAUGGGACAGAACACUAAGUGAGAUUGAAUUAUAUAUUUAAUAUAUACAAAAAUAUCAAAGAAUAAAACAAAAUUUCACUUUA
Molecule: long non-coding RNA, 331 nt
Organism: Mytilus trossulus (common blue mussel)
Lineage: Eukaryota; Metazoa; Mollusca; Bivalvia; Mytilida; Mytilidae
Exons: 4
Source: RefSeq, a predicted model, not a curated record